UACGUAGGGUCCGAGCGUUGUCCGGAAUUAUUGGGCGUAAAGGGCUCGUAGGCGGUUUGUCGCGUCGGGAGUGAAAACCUUGGGCUUAACUCAGGGCUUGCUUUCGAUACGGGCAGACUAGAGGUAUGCAGGGGAGAACGGAAUUCCAGGUGUAGCGGUGAAAUGCGUAGAUAUCUGGAGGAACACCGGUGGCGAAGGCGGCAUCCUGGACCGGCAUUGACGCUGAGGAGCGAAAGCCAGGGGAGCAAACGGG
This 253-nucleotide ribosomal RNA is filed under the name uncultured bacterium. RNAcentral's name for it is "partial 16S ribosomal RNA". It matches the Rfam family "Bacterial small subunit ribosomal RNA", at positions 524 to 776 of the family's 1533-position model. The record is from RNAcentral.